This 440-nucleotide ribosomal RNA is filed under the name uncultured bacterium. RNAcentral describes it as "partial 16S ribosomal RNA". It matches the Rfam family "Bacterial small subunit ribosomal RNA", at positions 338 to 795 of the family's 1533-position model. The record is from RNAcentral.
CCUACGGGAGGCAGCAGUGGGGAAUAUUGCACAAUGGGGGAAACCCUGAUGCAGCGACGCCGCGUGAGUGAAGAAGUAAUUCGUUAUGUAAAGCUCUAGCAGCAGGGAAGAAAAUGACGGUACGUGAGUAAGAAGCCCCGGCUAACUACGUGCCAGCAGCCGCGGUAAUACGUAGGGGGCAAGCGUUAUCCGGAUUUAAUGGGGGUAAAGGGGGCUUAGGCGGCAGUGCAAGGCUGGAGUGAAAGGGCGGGGCUCAACCCCCGGACUGCUCUGGAAACUGGCCGGAUGGAGGGGAGGAGAGGUAGGUGGAAUGCGUAGUGUAGCGGUGAAAUGCGUAGAUAUUAGGCAGAACACCGAUGGCGAAGGCAGCUUACUGGAGUGUAACUGACGUUGAGGCUCGAAAGCGUGGGGAGCGAACAGGAUUAGAUACCCCUGUAGUC